Molecule: ribosomal RNA, 411 nt
Filed under: uncultured archaeon
Lineage: Archaea
Description: bacterial SSU rRNA
Rfam family: Archaeal small subunit ribosomal RNA
Source: RNAcentral
UCUACGGGGUGCAGCAGUCGCGAAAACUCCGCAAUGCACGAAAGUGUGACGGGGCUACCCCGAGUGCCAUCCGCUGAGGAUGGCUUUUCUUUGGUAUAACUAGCCAGGGGAAUAAGGAGAGGGCAAGACUGGUGUCAGCCGCCGCGGUAAUACCAGCUCUCCGAGUGGUAGGGAUGAUUAUUGGGCUUAAAGCGUCCGUAGCCGGAUUAGCAAGUUUCCUGUUAAACUCAGCGACUCAAUCGUUGGAUCGCGGGAAAUACUACUAGGCUAGGAGGCGGGAGAGGUCAACGGUACUUCUGGGGUAGGGGUGAAAUCCUAUAAUCCCGGGAGGACCACCAGUGGCGAAGGCUGUUGACUAGAACGCGCUCGACGUGAGACGAAGUAAACCGGGGGAGCACACUGGAAUAGCUA